AGACCUCCUCAAGCGCUUUGGUGACACUGGGCUUGGUAUUGGGGUUGGACUGACUUCUGUCUCUCCUCCCCGAAAUCCAUUGGCGGAGACCACACUGCACUGGACGUAGUAAGUCAUUCUCGUUGAGUAGUUAGUGUGAGCUUUCUUGCCGUUAACCCCCAACUUUUAACU
This 171-nucleotide unclassified non-coding RNA is filed under the name Eleutherascus tuberculatus. RNAcentral's name for it is "partial internal transcribed spacer 2". The record is from RNAcentral. Lineage: Eukaryota; Fungi; Ascomycota; Pezizomycetes; Pezizales; Ascodesmidaceae.